Long non-coding RNA from Dreissena polymorpha, 174 nucleotides. RefSeq lists it as uncharacterized. The transcript is spliced from 3 exons. The record is from RefSeq and is a predicted model, not a curated record. NCBI's taxonomy places the organism in Eukaryota, Metazoa, Mollusca, Bivalvia, Myida, Dreissenidae.
GAUUGAAUUCGAGGAGGACGACAAAGGCAUUGCACAGAUCAAAGAUGCAGCACCAUUUGCGCAUGCUGCAAGUUUACUUAAAUUGGACGAAAUCGCGUUUAAUGAGGCACUCGUUUCUUCAAAUAGGCGGCCCAAAAACGUACAACAAGCUGAAGACGGGAGAGAUGCCUUAGC